CUCUUACGGUGUUUUUUUGAAGAUUAAACCCUUUGUAAACAUCAGUUCCUGAGAGUAAAGAGCAUCUGUUCAGCUGGAAAGCGCUUUACCUAGAAAAAACAACAGCCUCACUUCAUCAGUCCUACCACACAUCUGAAAGCUAUUUAAUGACAACCAAAGGACUUGGUGGGAUGAUCUAAGUCGGUGGCACUUCUUUAAAGAAAAUGGAUGCUUCUGAAAAUAAAGAACCAGACCAGCAUGUGGAGGCCCCUUAUAAUGGAACGGAAGAGGAGGAGCUUCAUCGAUCUGGACAACAACGGAAAAGAUGUGUGUAUUUAAAGAAGGUGAGGCCCUGAAAAAGGAGAAAAGAUUGAUUCAGCUGUACGAACAAUGGAAGGACCUGGCUCGCAACACAAGGGAAGGGCUAAAAACAGACGUUAGUGAGAGCCAACUGGCGCUUAUUAAUACACUUGAAAAGGGCAGGGAUGAUGUCAUGCACGUCUACCUGGAAAUUAGAGAUUACAUCGCUCCAUCCAGCUGAAUUAGCAGCCAAAGAAGCGGAAUACUCGAUACAAGAGAUCGAAGCUCAGAAGUUUGAACUGGAAAAACUUAAGGCAGAGAAGGAUCUAAAAGCAGCUAGAGCCAGACUGCAGGCCUAUGAUCAAGAAAUGGCACAAGAAGACAGCAUUCAUUCUUCAGAUUCAAAUUUAGGGGAACAGCAGGAUAGCUUAUUGUGAAAUGAGUCCUGCAAAGGAAAUAGCACAGCAGUUCUUCCUAGCCGCCUUCUCAGAGAAGAAACCUCCUGUUUCAUUCAAAAAUCCCACACACACACACCACAAAGGCUAUCAGUUACACUUCAUUUAACUCUCAUCUUGCACCAGAUUAGCAACCUCUGAACCCCCUUUACUUAAGCCCUUGUACACUUUGUUACAUGCAUGUUCUGCCAUAAUUGUACUAUUCAUUUCAUCUAAUUUCUACACAAUAAUUAAUGACCAUUGUUCGUCUCUGUUAGUUGUACAUAGAGCACAAGAUAAUGGUCCAAAAUUCAUUUAAGUUACAUGUACAUUUGUGAGAUAAUUUGAAAUGUAACAUGAAUUGUAAUCUUGCUGUUGUUUUUUUCAGGACUGUGAAUGUGACGUACCCCAAAUUUCCAUCGGAUUCUGAAUGUGUUGGCAGAAGACAGCCAGGAAUCUCCAUUUGGAUGGUUUUUACAGCUCAAGUACAACUUUGAUUUUAUUCUUCAACUUUGAGUCUUUCUUUUCAUUGGAAACAAAUAUCUGAAACCAAAACUACAGCAACUAAAAAUCUGCUGAUGAUGAAAAUCAAGGCUGUUUGAGAUUUAGAAAACCUAAAAAUGUUAAUGCUGUCAUUUUGUUUACCCUCAUGUCAUUCCAAGCCCAUAAGACAUUGGUUUGACUUCUUGGUCUUUGAAACAACAAGGUCCAGGUAACCAAAACUUAAAAUAUAUAUAUAAAAAAAAAAUCACUAAGGUGUAUUUAAACUAAUCGUAUCCAGUCAGUUAAAAAUCUGAAGAAAUUAAAAUCUUUUGGUUACCUGCACUUUCAGUGAAGGAACAGAAAUCUAAGGUUUCCUUAAAAGUAGUCUUUGAAAGAAAGACAGACUAAUCUUGUGGGUUUGGAAUGACACGAGGGAAAGUGAAUUUUCAGUUUUGGGUGAAAUAUCCCUUUAAGCUUGUGUUUGCACAAACAUUUUAAUUUUAACUGAUCUUAUACAUUGAACAAGGGUUGAAAAUGUUUUUUUCUAACUUAGAACAAUGUUAUAUAGGGAUUUUUUUUUUUUUUUUUUUAAAAAAAUUUUCCAAUAAACUUAUGUUGAGUUAGUUUAAGCUCAAAUAUUGUCAAACAGUCAGGAUCCCUGAUAGGAGUUUUUUGUAUUUUAUGUAGUUGCACUUGCAGUGCACAUUUUUGGUGCUUUUUGCUCUUCAGAAAGUAUUAAUCCUACAUACAUAUAUAAAAUUUAGCUGUGCUUGAAUGACAUUGUUUGGUACACUGUACUCCCUGUAGACAGUUUGGUUGUUGCUUUUUGUCUUUAAAGUUUUUAGUCCAGCUUACUUGCUAAUUAAGGCAAUCAGUUUCUUAAUAUUUUCCAAGUAAUGUGAACACUAAUAAAAAGUUAACAACUAAUUAUUUUAAGUCAACAGUACUGCCAUGCAAAAGGCAAGACUGUAACUUAUUAGUUAUUGAUAUUUUUGGGACAUUCCAGACAUCCUUUAUCAUGGGUAUAAGUAUCUAGAGUCAAUUUCGUUGUUUUGAGAAAAUAAUGGGUCGUCUCAACCGUAACUUCGAAAAGCCCCAGAGAAACCAAGGCAGAACACCGUAUAACACCAGUUACGGCGCUUUCACUUUGUUUGGAACUCACAAAUUGAGUUAUGGCAUUCUGACUUUGUUUAGACACGCCUCAAUAUGAAGUUAUGGUGCCGGUUAGGAGUUAGGAGUUGUUAUUAUGUUCUGCUUUUGUUUUACUGUCCAUUAAAGUCUGCCACAUUUUAAUUACAGUGUAGACAAACGAAUUAGAUUGUGUGUUCUACCAAAGAGCUCCAUAUAACAAAUCACUGUAAACACUAGAUACAUUGGCAGCAAUAUGUAAUCGUGAAUAACCUUUAAAGAUUUUUUUUUUGGCAAUGCAGAUUAUUUACCAGGCUGUCACUUCUAGUUGGACGCGUGUGGACUCAAAUGCCGUAUCCUAGCAUCAGUCAUAAAAUCAGUAGCCUACUAACAGUUCGAAAUUAAAUCCAUAUCCUACCUUUUCUUGUAACCCGAUAAAAUAUGGUGAUGAACAUCAGAGAAGUUUAAUCCAAAAGUACUGAGCAUUAUUCUCAUUUGUUGGCAUUCACAUCAACCCACAAGUCGCUCUUUUAGGUUAGGCUAUUUCAUACAAGUCAAUAUAAAAGCAAUUAUGCUGUCUAGCAUUCUUUUACAUUACUGAGCAUUGCAAAUAAAUUGGUAUCCACUUAGGCACGGUGCCAGAAUUUUUCUCUCUACUGGUGCUAAGGGGGGGAGAGCAGGGGGCUAGACUAAUAUGUAGGGGUGCUAAGAAAAUAAAUUAUAUUGAUGACAUCAGAGUUACUUAAAUGGGGCUAAACCGGGGCCAUUAAAAAUUCUGACGGGGCUAUAGCCCCCCCCCCCAGCCAGCCCCGGUGUAGCGCCAUCAUUGUAUCAAUUCAUGUUUAACUUUUAGUCUGCUUGUUAUGGUCAAAAAAAAAAAACACCAACAGUACUAUGUGCAAUAGCCUAUAUGAAAUAGUCCAUGAUCACUAGAUAUUAUAUAGGUCACUAUAACGAUUUUGUAAAUGGUGAUCAGCAACCAAAUAUUGAUAACGUGGAAGUUACUGCCUUUUGCCUUGGUGUGACUUCUCACAUUUACAUAGGCCUACAAACUCUUUUACAUAAAGAUAAAAUUUCUGCAAAGAAUUUGUUAGGAUAAAUCCCCAAAUUCUGUUACAACCUCCUUGGUCUAGGGCAGUGCUUCCCCUGUCUUGGAGGCCCCCCUGCCCCUUUUGUAUGUCUACGUUAUCUAACACACCUGAUUCCACUCAUCAGCUCGUUAGUAGAGACUGCAAGAACUAAACUGGGUGUGUCUGAUUAGGGAGACAAACAAAAUGUGCAGGCCAGGGGGUCCUCCAAGACAGGUUUGGGAAGCACUGGUCUAGGGGUUAGGUGGAAGUUCAGAAUUAUAAGCCUUAAUUCAAACUAGGAACCAACCUUGUAGAGCCCCUGCCCACUGUUCCAAAUCAAUUCAAACUUCAUAACUUGAUUGAGCCAAAAAAUAAAUAAAUAAAUAAAUUAAAAAAAAAAAAAAUUUACACAAUAAAUACACAAAUAAUUGUAGGAUUCCAAAUAAAUUACACAAGGAAGCACUAGAUUAACCUCUGAAGGGAGCCAGGCCAAAAUAAACAAACAGAAUCUAACUAUUGUCACACAACUAAAAAAACCAUCUCCAAAAUAAUGUCAUCUAAAUAAAAUAAUUUCUAAACCUAACUCCUUAACUAACCAAACAGCCAGGAGAAAAGUGAUACAAAACAAAUGGCACCCACCUCCCUACAUCUCCUAUAUAAAUUAACACCUUAGGCAAAAGAAAGAAAAGUAAACUCCAACAACUACCAUUCUCCUGCACUCAGGGGGUACAGCUCCAAGAUCAACUAUAUAAAUCUCUUUUUGUGACUUCAAAACCACAGAAUAAUACCUCACAUUGUACACAGGUCUCAAAGAGAAGUAGUGAACAGUAAACAGGGACUCAACAAGCGAGACAUCAAGUUGUUUUCAGAGUAGCUUAUUUUCUGAGUUUCAGAACUGCACAGCUUAUAUCUCCAAUGAGCAGAAGAAGAUUCUCAUGAGCACUGAUUAUCAACAGUUGACACUCGUUACUCAUCCUAAGAGAGCGGGAACAUAAGAUAACAAUAUCAGAAUCAGAAUAAGAAUCAGAAAGAGCUUUACUGCCAAGUAUGCUUGCGCAUACAAGGAAUUUAGUGACAUAAGCUUCCAGUACACAGAGACAACAACACAGUAAAAAAAAUAAAAUAGAAAAACCUUUGUAAAUAAAUAAGUGUAUAAACAAUUGUGCUAUAAAUGAUAAUAGAAUAGGAUUGAGUAAGAUGCAGAGAUGUACUAGGAUGGAGGGGUAACAAAUAAAUAUAAGGAUAUUGCACAUUUUUAUUGCAUAAGUGGAGAACAUUUAACUGUUCAUGAGGUAAAUUGCCUGGGGGAAGAAACUGUUCUUGUGCCUGACUGUCCUGGUAUUUGCGGCUCUAAAUUGCUGGCCAGAUGGCAAAAGUUCAAAGAUGGGGUAACUUGGAUAUGAGGGAUCCAGAGUGAUUUUCUGAGCCCUUUUCCUCACUCUGGAUUUAUACAGUUCUUGAAGGGUGGGGGUAAUAUAUGUAGUCAAUAUGGUAGCCUACUUGGCUAAAACGUCAUAAUGUGCGUAGUUAAUAGAUUACAUUAGGCUACAGUGGUUUGAGCACGUUUGACCAGAGACAAGCGCAAUUAAAGAGCUGUGCUUAUGUGAUGGACGGGGCGCCGUCUUGAUAGGCGAGAAAGCUUCGGUAAAUGGCUCAUAAAAACGACGAGGACAUGAAUGGUUUUUACAAGUCAGAAUGUAAAAUUACAGUAAUAUUUCACAUGAAAUUCUGUCAGUGUGAGG
This is a long non-coding RNA of Cyprinus carpio carpio, 5136 nucleotides long. The record is from Ensembl. Lineage: Eukaryota; Metazoa; Chordata; Actinopteri; Cypriniformes; Cyprinidae.